This 288-nucleotide ribosomal RNA is filed under the name uncultured bacterium. RNAcentral's name for it is "partial 16S ribosomal RNA". It matches the Rfam family "Bacterial small subunit ribosomal RNA", at positions 775 to 1067 of the family's 1533-position model. The record is from RNAcentral.
GGAUUAGAUACCCUGGUAGUCCACGCCGUAAACGAUGAUUACUCGUUAUUUAUGCGAUAUAGUAUAAGUGACCAAGCGAAAGCGUUAAGUAAUCCACCUGGGAAGUACGGUCGCAAGGCUGAAACUCAAAGGAAUUGGCGGGGGUCCGCACAAGCGGUGGAGUAUGUGGUUUAAUUCGAUGAUAAGCGAGGAACCUUACCUGGAUUCAAUUCAAUCUGACAGACUUAGAGAUAGGUUUUUCUUCGGACAGAUUGGAAGGUGCUGCAUGGUUGUCGUCAGCUCGUGCCG